GUAAUUAUAUGGACAUGAAAAGGUGUUCAAGAACUUUGGGGUCCAUUGGGCAAAGAUAAAUGGCACUUGCUUCACAAUCUGCCAUUCAGGAUAGAAUAGGAAAGGAGUUAAUUGAGCAUGAUGAGAAACACGGCCAAUGAAAUAUUUUGCCAUAUUUGAGGAAUAUAUGACCCAAACAAUUUAUGAGAAUUAUUUGGGAAUUUUGGGAGUGAUAGACAUAUAGGUUGCUUCACAACCUAGGGCAAAUUAGGUUAUUCCUUUAAUAGAAAAAAUGAAUAUUCCCAAGGAAAUGAAUAUCGGGGUUGGGAUAGGAUGGGAAUGGCAAGGUAUUGGGAAGGGUUUGAGGAUGACAAGACACUCUGGAAAGAAAGAAGAGGGCAUGUUCUUCAGUUUCCAGACAACAUAGCCACGGAAAAAGGAAACUCAAGCAAAAAUCUCAGAAAAACAAAAGAAAAAGAAAAGGGCCGAAAAUCAGGCUGUGACACUGCGGGCGACGUAGCUCACGGAGCACCUCCACCACCUCCGCAUCAAGACAGUGCCCUGGCGCCAAGGCGCGCGGCCCCUCGGCGCGGCCCACCGCGCCGGGCGCCCGCAACUGAAAAUGUACUUGCUUCACUAACUGAAAAUUUGGACAGAAACAAAGAAUUGAUGCUCAGCUCACAAGGAUGCAUUUCAUGAGCUCAAAUCUUGAGGAGGGUGAUGAUUUGGUGAUAUGAAGUGCCAUGCAAAAUUUCAACUAAAUAGGAUUAACCUAGCUAGUACUUCCUUCACAACUAAUUCCCUCAGACAGGAACUUUGAAAAAUUGCUCAGGAAUAUUCACUAGGCAAAUUAAGUUGAAUUCUGGAAUGAGGUAAUUAUAUGGACAUGAAAAGGUGUUCAUGAAGUUUGGGGUCCAUUGGGCAAAGAUAAAUGGCACUUGCUUCACAAUCUGCCAUUCAUGACAGGAUAGGAAAGGAAUUAAUUGAGCAUGAUGAGAAACAUGGCCUAUGAAAUAUUUUGCCAUAUUUGAGGAAUAUAUGACCCAAAAAAUUUAUGAGAAUUAUUUGGGAAUUUUGGGAGUGAUAGACAUAUAGGUUGCUUCACAACCUAGGGCAAAUUAGGUUAUUCCUUUAAUAGAAAAAAGGAAUAUUCCCAAGGAAAAGAAUAUGGGGGUUGGGAUAGGAUGAGAAUGGCAAGGUAUUGGGAAGGGUUUGAG
Molecule: long non-coding RNA, 1196 nt
Filed under: Triticum aestivum (bread wheat)
Lineage: Eukaryota; Viridiplantae; Streptophyta; Magnoliopsida; Poales; Poaceae
Description: long non-coding RNA (TAES_LNC008558)
Source: RNAcentral